AGAUGUCUUCGUAGAGCCACGAAGACAUUAAAAUAAAGAAAGCUCGCUGAGA
This 52-nucleotide non-coding RNA is filed under the name unclassified sequences. Its description in RNAcentral is "6A RNA". It matches the Rfam family "6A RNA". Rfam says of the family: Actinobacteria (1 example), Firmicutes, Fusobacteria. Terminator (Clostridia) The record is from Rfam by way of RNAcentral.